CUUACACUUUUAACUUACAGAGUGAUAUAUGUGUCUGGUGAGAGACGAUACGAAUGCUCUAUACAUUGGCCAUAAUGGGAAGAAGUAAUUUACCUACCUUGCAAAUUAAUAUAACUACUGCCAUGCACAUGCUUCUACUUAUAAGUUCAGUUCAAGUGGACACCGUCGCUGCAGUUGAUGAAAAAUUGCAUCAUAAAUCUUUAAUCUCAAAAUCAGAACAUUUCGAUGUGAGGACGAAACGUAGCGAGAACGCCUCGCUACGUGAGUAUUUAAAUGAAUAUUAUGCAAACUAUUACAACGAGUACUACACCAACUACUACAGCCGUGUUGCGUAUAACAAUGCUCCGUCGGUUCGAAAAUCAAUUAGUUUUGUUGGAAGUUUCAAUGAAAACUUGAAUCGUGAAUCGGCACACGGUACAAAAUAUAGGUACAAUCCGCUUUUCGAAUACAGAUCUACAAAUCGCAAACGUCAUAAGCUUUUUGUACCUGUUUAAAUUAAAAGAAAAAAAAACUUUUUAAUGCUAUCAAAGGCUAUAUUAUACACUCGCUGUUCGAUUGCGAGAGUAGUUCGU
This is a long non-coding RNA of Bradysia coprophila, 572 nucleotides long. The record is from RefSeq and is a predicted model, not a curated record. Lineage: Eukaryota; Metazoa; Arthropoda; Insecta; Diptera; Sciaridae.